Juglans regia (Persian walnut) is the source of this 1324-nucleotide long non-coding RNA. RefSeq lists it as uncharacterized. The record is from RefSeq and is a predicted model, not a curated record. NCBI's taxonomy places the organism in Eukaryota, Viridiplantae, Streptophyta, Magnoliopsida, Fagales, Juglandaceae. The transcript has 2 exons.
AUUCCCCAAUAGUCAAUCCUGACAUAAAGGUGUUAAAAAAGACAUAAUGGGAUAACCCCAUUCUCACUUCAUUUGUGCUGAUUGCUGUUAAAGAAGGCAAGAAAGGAAUAUGAAGCCUACCAGGAAAACAAAGAACAGCUCAAUUUCGUAAGCAGAAUACGUUGUUGUUUGUUUGUGUUAUAAAAAUUGAGUCCAGUCCCUCUACGGGGAGGGGAGUGGCUAUACUGCGUGUACUGCUGCCCUUCAGUAUGAUAUUUGUAUGCGAUUCGCCGAUUUGUGAAGUGUGAUUAAAUGGAGGAGAGAAAAUCAUCGUCUGCACUCUGUAGUAAGUGCAAACUGUUUGAUAUUCACGUACUGUACUUGGUUUAUAAAAAAAGUUGUUAUUAAUCUUAGGAACUCGUAAUUGAUUGAAAGUUGUGCAGUUUCUAAUACUCUCUUGCUCUGUCAAGUGUAUUGUGCAAUAUGAGUCAAUUAUCUCUGCACUGGACGCUUCUCUGCUGUCUCCCUUCCAGGUUUUAGGCCACAUGAAAACAGCAUGCGUCCCUGACAUUGGGGUGGCUACUUUUUUAUUCAGAGUUGACUCUGGAACACAUACCGUUAUUGGCAUCAUGGCAUGGUUGUGUAUAGUUGGGCAGUGGAGGUUGAGAAGCAAGCUGGUGUCAAGAUCAUUCCAGGCAAUCUGCCGGAAGAGGAUUCACAACUGUUGAAGGUGGAAAAGGGGAGAGAGUCCAGUGAAAGAUGCAGAGUCAAAAGCAGCAAUAUGUAAUGAAGUUUAAAUUGGGUUAUACUUUUCAAGCUGUGUAACAAUCUAAACGGCAGAUGAAAUCCAAGCAGAAUCCAGUGACUGCGUUCUUCUUUUGUCGGAUUCUUCGAAUGGAAGAGUAACAUUCGAAGAAAGUAGCAAAUGAAGUGCCCUGCAACGAUUAGACAAUAGUGAAUGAAAUGAGGCAGGCCAUAUAUAAACAAGGUGAUCUGGAUACUUGCAAAAUCCAUGAAAGGAAAAUAAUAGCAAGAUGUACUCUUUCAAGGAUAUUGGGAUGGUUUUGAUUUGGGCCAAGAAUGACCAAAAUUCCAAAGUGCAGGUCACCCUGAUACUGGCCUCUGAUAUUUCAAUGCACAGGGCUUUUUAAUCAGCUUAGCUCGUGUAAAUAUGAAGUGCCCAGAUUGUGGUCAGUAGAUCCAUAAAAUACAGGUUAUUUCUUCAGUUGAUGGCUAUGCUACGAACUUGUCGGAUUAGUCUUUUUUUUUGAAGUGCCAACAUGUAGUUUCAGCAUUUGACAGAAAAAAGAAUUAAGAUUUUCGUGCUAGUGUCCAUGUUUGCACU